Magnaporthiopsis poae ATCC 64411 is the source of this 99-nucleotide non-coding RNA. NCBI's taxonomy places the organism in Eukaryota, Fungi, Ascomycota, Sordariomycetes, Magnaporthales, Magnaporthaceae. The record is from the annotation of a GenBank genome assembly.
AGCAACUUGGCGCAGGGGAAGCGCGCCGGGCUCAUACUAGGGGAUAAACUCCUAUAUUCUGGUACCCGGAGGUCCUUGGAUCGAAACCAAGAGUUGCUA